This 1181-nucleotide long non-coding RNA is filed under the name Canis lupus familiaris (dog). Its description in RNAcentral is "lncRNA (ENSCAFG00040000233.1)". Lineage: Eukaryota; Metazoa; Chordata; Mammalia; Carnivora; Canidae. The record is from RNAcentral.
CUCAGCCUUAAAAAAGAAGGAAAUCCUGAUACUAAUGACAACAUGGAUGAACCAAGAGGAAAUUAUUACACAAAGUGGAAUAAGCCAGACACAGAAGGACAAACACUGCAUAAUCUCACUUAUAUAUGGAAUCUAAGAAUGUUACUUCUAGAAACAGAGAGUAGUGCUGUAGUUUUGGGGGGCUGGGGGUGAUGCAAAUGCGGAGAUGCUGGCCAAAGGCCACAAACUUCCAGUUAUAAGAUGAGUAUGUUCUGGGGAUCCCAUGUAAAGCAUUUUGACUAUAUUUAAUAAUGCUCUAUUGUCUACUUGAAAUUUGCUAAGAGAGUGGAUCUUAAGUGUUCUCACCACACACAGAUACAAGAAAGGUAACUGUAUGAGCUUAUGGAUAUGUUAGUUACCUAGAUCGUGGUAUCAUUUCACAGCAUGUAGGUAUAUUAAAGCAUCACAUUGUACACCUUAAAUAUAUACAAUUUUUAUUGUCAAUGAUAUUCCAUUAAAGCUAGGUGAGGGUAAGAGGGCAUAGGAUAUUUAUCUGAGAAAAAAAGAAAAAAAAGAGAGAGCUCCUAAGUUGAACAAUCAGGUGGGAAGAGCAAAGGCUGGAAGGGCGUAUUUUACUAUCAAAAAGAGUGGAUCAUUACCAAAUGGUUCAUUAUUAUUAUUUUGACCCAGUAAAGUAUUGCAUGCACUCAGUGGACCCUUUGCAAAUCACUCCCCUGAUCAAGAGGUCAGGUGAGGACUUUACAGAAUGGCACCUAGAAAGCCACCACAGGUAAAAAUCUCUCCAAAGAUGUCUGGCACAUUUCUAUCUGUGUUGUUUUUAGAUUCACUUCAACUUUCUGGGUAUGAUUUUUCUCAUGUGAAAAAUGGAGAUACAGAUAAUUGUUUCAACUUCCUGUCUGGAUUUUCAUGAGGAUUGAUUGCCCAUGAGUGGUAUCUGUAUGCAAAGUGAGAGGAAUGAUGUUAAAUGCGCAAAGGGAAGAGCUCCACUUGGCAGGUUUCUCCAGUUUGAGCAUGGUAACGCCAGCAGUGUGUGUGCAUCAACACCACCUCAAAAACACCACCGUCAGUUGUCAUCAUGUUUUGAAAUGAAACAUGUAUAUGCAUUCUUAAUCUGUAUCAAGUAUGAAAACAUGUCAUCCCACCAUUUAUUUUUUCUUUUCAAAUUUUUAUUUAAAUUCUAG